Molecule: non-coding RNA, 23955 nt
Organism: Xyrichtys novacula (pearly razorfish)
Lineage: Eukaryota; Metazoa; Chordata; Actinopteri; Labriformes; Labridae
Source: the annotation of a GenBank genome assembly
GGACCUCAGUAGACCCCUGCUUGUGGUAAGUGAACCAUGUAUCUGGUUUGGAUCCCUUUACUGUUUCUAUGAAUUAUAUUCAAUACUAUUCCAAAAAACACAGAACAUCUGUUGUGUGUUUUCACAGGAUUGUGCAAAAUUACAGGCUUUUGACAGAGAGAGGGUCAGGUAUGAAAAUCUUAAAUAAUCACUGCUUGGUUGUUGUUGCUGAAUGGAAAACAUUUUAUUUACUCCUAUGCAUUUGAAAGUGAGAUACCAUUGUUGUUUUUUUAAUGUCAAGCUAGUCUUCAAAAGUAAAUGAAGUCUUUACUUUUGAAGUGUGAUUUGACUUAAAUUUAUGCAGUAAGAUUAAUUUAAAGAAGAAAUAAUUCCUAUAAACACUUAUAUAGAGGUCUUCAACAACUUGGCUCCACAGAAGAAACAAAGUUGUGGAGUUGGUUUGUUUUGUUGUUAAUGUUGUUUUUUUUUUUGUUUAUUUUCAUUAAGAAGUGAACUGCCACCAUGAGUACAGACGCAGAGAUGGCCGUUUAUGGCAAAGCUGCCAUUUACCUUCGUAAGCCAGAGAAGGAGAGAAUUGAGGCUCAAAGCAAACCCUUUGAUGCCAAGAGUGCCUGUUAUGUGGCUGAUGCCAAGGAGCUUUACCUGAAGGGAACCAUUAUCAGUAAAGAUGGUGGCAAAGUCGUUGUCAAAGUCCUGGACACUCAGGAGGUUAGUAUCUUGAAGUCAGAGUCAUAUUCUCCUUGAAGUGAUCUGUUCUCAUUCUGACAACCUUCCUGUUACAGGAGAGGACAGUCAAAGAAGAUGACGUCUCUCCAAUGAAUCCUCCCAAGUUCGACAAAAUUGAGGACAUGGCCAUGAUGACCCAUCUCAAUGAAGCCUCUGUGCUUUAUAACCUCAAAGAGCGUUAUGCAGCAUGGAUGAUCUACGUAAGGAAAUAAGGCUGAUAACAAAUGAAAAUGUUUUCACUUAUAUAUUCAUGUGUGAAGUACUGAGAUCACAAUCUUUCUUCCCACUUUCAGACCUACUCUGGCUUGUUCUGUGCCACCGUGAAUCCCUACAAGUGGCUCCCAGUGUACGAUUCUGAAGUUGUGUCUGCCUACAGAGGCAAGAAGCGUAUGGAGGCUCCACCCCACAUCUUCUCUGUCUCUGACAACGCUUAUCAGUUCAUGCUUACUGGUAAGAAACAACAGCAAAAAAUGACUCAAUCUAUUAAUUGAAGUUUCUACCGGAAGGAAACAUAAUGUAUUAUUUUACCUGUCAACAGAUAGGGAGAACCAGUCUGUCUUGAUCACGUAAGUUUAAUUUUUUUUUUCUUGUUUUAUGUAUAAAUACUUGAUGAAAUAUUGACAAAAUGCUAACAAGGGAUUUUCUAUGCCUAGUGGAGAAUCUGGUGCUGGAAAGACUGUGAACACCAAGCGUGUCAUCCAGUACUUUGCAACAAUCUCAGUUGGUGGAGACCAGAAGAAGAAGGAACCAUCAAAGAUGGGAGUAUGUACAAAUUUAAUGGUUACAGCUCUGUGUUAUUUAAUGUCAUUAAAUUAAAAUAUUAAAAAAGCUCAUUUUCUGAUAUCACUUGGAAAUCUCCAUUUCAGGGUUCACUUGAGGACCAGAUUAUUGCAGCCAAUCCUCUGCUGGAGGCCUAUGGUAAUGCCAAAACUGUGAGAAAUGACAACUCCUCUCGUUUUGUAAGUAUUGAGAGAACUUUUGCAUAUCAAAAUGGUCUUGUCAAACAUUGCCUAUGUUCAUGAAUGUUUAAUGAAACUUUCUCCUGGACAGGGUAAAUUUAUCAGAAUUCAUUUCGGCACAACUGGCAAACUGUCUAGUGCUGAUAUUGAGACAUGUAAGUGUGAAAAUUCUCUUAUACAUUCUUGUAACAAGAAUCACAAUUUGGCCAGGAUUUGACUCAUGAACAAUGUUUGUAGAUCUGCUGGAGAAGUCUAGAGUGACAUUCCAGCUUCCUGAUGAAAGAGGCUACCACAUCUUCUACCAGAUGAUGACCAACCACAAACCUGAGCUGAUUGGUAUACACAUUUUUUUUCUCAAUGUUACUCCUGAGUCUCAUACAAAACAAAACUGACCUCAUCCUUCUUUUUUUUUUUUUCCAGAAAUGUCCCUCAUCACAACCAACCCCUACGACUUCCCCAUGUGCAGCAUGGGUCAGAUCACUGUGGCCAGUAUUGAUGACAAAGUUGAGCUGGAAGCCACUGAUGUGAGUGAACUGUGAUCUUCACUACAAAAUAGUUACAUUUUGUAAAUGACAACACCCAAGGUACUCUGCAUUAAAAUUACUUACAUUCAUUUGGACACUUGUAUCAAAUACAGAAUGCUAUUGAUAUCCUGGGCUUCAGUAAUGAGGAGAAGAUGAGCAUCUACAAGAUGACUGGUGCUGUGCUCCACCAUGGUAACAUGAAGUUCAAACAGAAGCAGCGUGAGGAGCAGGCUGAGCCUGAUGGCACAGAGGGUGAGUUCUGCUGUUAACUUUAAGUUAGAGGUUUUUAUUCUGGCUAGUCUUCUAGACAAUGGAAACCACAUGCCGUAUCACUGAAAGUCACUUGAUUAUUGUCAGAUGCCGACAAGGUUGCCUACUUGCUGGGUCUGAACUCUGCUGAUAUGCUGAAGGCUCUGUGCUACCCCAGAGUGAAGGUCGGAAAUGAGUUUGUCACCAAGGGACAGACUGUACCUCAGGUAAUCACGGAUCUCUGAUAUCUAGUAAACUAUGCACCCAAGAAUGAAGUUAUAAAGGUCUUGCUUAAGUAGUAUUCUUUUUCAUGUCAUUUUAAAUAAUUCUUUGGGGGGUUGUUAGUGUCAUUCAGCCCAUGAACAGACACUAGGUAAAACUGGUAUUGUAAAUGAAGUGUUUACCUGGCUUGAAUUACAUGAUACCUUUGUUUUAUUUAGGUGCUGAACUCAGUGACUGCCCUGGCCAAGUCUAUCUAUGAGAGGAUGUUCUUGUGGAUGGUCAUCCGCAUCAACCAGAUGUUGGACACUAAACAGCCAAGACAGUUCUUCAUUGGUGUGCUGGAUAUUGCUGGCUUUGAAAUCUUUGAUGUAAGAUUCAUUCCAAACAAUUCAGGAUCUAAUCCUUUCUAAACUUUUCUCAAGGGUAUCAGUCCUUUUUUCUUUCAUCCCAAAAAACAUCAAUCAUCUAUUUUUCUCCCUUUACAGUUCAACAGCAUGGAGCAGCUGUGCAUCAACUUCACCAAUGAGAAGCUGCAACAGUUCUUCAACCACCACAUGUUCGUCCUGGAGCAAGAGGAGUACAAGAAGGAGGGUAUUAUCUGGGAGUUCAUUGACUUCGGUAUGGACUUGGCUGCCUGUAUUGAGCUGAUUGAGAAGGUAAUGAUUACAUUCAGUGACUAUGUAAUUCUGUCGGUUUCACUCACUGUACAUGCAAAAUAUUUACUUUUGUCAUCUUUUUCAAGCCCAUGGGCAUCUUCUCCAUCCUUGAAGAGGAGUGCAUGUUCCCCAAGGCUACAGACACAUCCUUCAAGAACAAGCUGUAUGACCAGCAUCUUGGCAAGAACAGAGCAUUUGAGAAGCCCAAGCCCGCCAAGGGCAAGGCUGAGGCCCACUUCUCCCUGGUUCACUAUGCUGGUACUGUGGACUACAAUAUCGCUGGCUGGCUGGACAAGAACAAGGAUCCACUGAACGAUUCUGUUGUUCAGCUGUACCAGAAGUCUUCCGUUAAGCUGCUGUCUCAUCUCUAUCCUCCUGUUGUUGAGGGUAAGAUGUAAUUAAGUGUUAGGUGCAUUUCUGACUAGCUGUGGUAUACUUUAAAACAAUUUGUAAGACUACAUUUAACUUUGUGUUUUUAAUUUAUCAACAGAGACUGGUGGCGGCAAGAAAGGAGGCAAGAAGAAGGGUGGUUCCAUGCAGACUGUGUCUUCACAGUUUAGGGUAAGGAUUCAUAUUUUAAACUUGUAUCAUAUAUCAAAUCUCAUAAUUGAACUAUGACAAGAUAUAACAUCUUGGAUCCACAGGAGAACUUGGGCAAGCUGAUGACCAACUUGAGGAGCACCCAUCCUCACUUUGUGCGUUGUCUGAUUCCCAACGAGUCAAAGACUCCAGGUAUAUACACAAAACAUAUGCCAGUAACUUUUUUAAAGUACAGUUUUGUUGUUCCAUGUUGGAAAAUUUUGAAUUAUAACAGAAAGUCUGACUUUAUUUUAAUUCCUUUUAAAGGUCUGAUGGAGAACUUCCUGGUCAUCCACCAGCUCAGGUGUAAUGGUGUGCUGGAGGGUAUCAGAAUCUGCAGAAAAGGUUUCCCCAGCAGAAUCCUCUAUGGUGACUUCAAGCAGAGGUAUCAAUGGAUUAAAUAGAGAUUUGGUUCAGGGGGGCUUUAAGGCAAUACUGACACUGACAAUGGGCUCUCUCAUUAUAGAUACAAGGUGCUGAAUGCCAGUGUCAUCCCUGAGGGCCAGUUCAUUGAUAACAAGAAGGCUUCAGAGAAGCUGCUUGGAUCAAUUGAUGUUGAUCAUGACCAGUACAGAUUUGGACACACCAAGGUACUUUGAUAACUUAGGGUCUUUACUCAAGAGGUUAAGUUUUCUCAAUGAGCUUUUCAAUUUUACUCUGUUGAUUAAAUGUGUAUAUAGUUUGUAAAACAAAUUGCUAAAAAAAAAUUAAGAACAUCACAAAGUCUUUCAAAGUUCAGAUAGGUUUCAAGUUUUUUCAAGAAAAUGUUUUUUGUUUUGCUGCAGUUUAAAAUUCAAUUCAUUGCUUUGGCUUGAUGUUUGCUCUUAAGAUAUUUUGAUUCUUUUUUUUUUUGAUUAGGUGUUCUUCAAGGCUGGUCUCCUGGGUACCCUUGAGGAGAUGAGAGAUGAAAAACUGGCAAGUUUGGUCACCAUGACUCAGGCUCUCUGCCGUGGCUACCUGAUGAGAAAGGAGUUUGUGAAGAUGAUGGAGAGGAGGCAUGUUCAAAACGAUUGUGCUGAAUUAGAUUAUGGACGAGUAAAAAACUACAUUGUAACAGCAGCUUUUUGUCCACAGAGAAGCCAUCUAUACCAUCCAGUACAAUGUCCGCUCAUUCAUGAAUGUCAAACACUGGCCAUGGAUGAAGGUCUACUACAAGAUCAAGCCUCUGCUGAAGAGUGCUGAAACUGAGAAGGAGCUGGCCCAGAUGAAGGAGAACUAUGGGAAAAUGCAGACAGACCUGGCUGCUGCCCUGGCAAAGAAGAAGGAGCUGGAGGAGAAGAUGGUGUCCCUCCUGCAGGAGAAGAACGAUCUGCAGCUGCAAGUCGCAUCUGUAAGUCUGCAAUUAUGUCAUGUUUGAUUCUGUCAAAAUAAUGUAGAUCUGCUAAUCAAUGCUUCACAUUACAAACUAGGAAACAGAGAAUCUGUCAGAUGCUGAGGAGAGGUGUGAGGGUCUUAUCAAGAGUAAGAUUCAGCUGGAGGCCAAGCUCAAAGAGACAACUGAAAGACUGGAGGAUGAGGAGGAAAUCAAUGCUGAGCUCACUGCCAAAAAGAGGAAGUUGGAGGAUGAAUGCUCUGAGCUCAAGAAGGACAUCGAUGACCUGGAGCUUACCUUGGCCAAAGUGGAGAAGGAGAAACAUGCCACUGAGAACAAGGUCUGGGGAAAAACAAAUAUCUCACAUGUCAAAUAAAAUCAGGACAUUGCCACAUAGUACUAAAAAUAUUUUACUCACAAAUUUAGGUGAAGAACCUGACUGAAGAGAUGGCCUCUCAGGAUGAGAGCAUUGCCAAGUUGACCAAGGAAAAGAAAGCCCUUCAGGAGGCUCAUCAGCAGACCCUUGAUGAUCUGCAGGCUGAGGAAGACAAGGUCAACACUCUGACCAAGGCCAAGACUAAGCUUGAGCAGCAAGUGGACGAUGUAAGUUUUUUAUAUGUCACUAUGCUAAACAAUUAAUAUGGAAGAAGAACCUGGUCUUUAAGAACAUAUAUUACCGUUUAGCUUGAAGGUUCUCUGGAGCAAGAGAAGAAGCUGCGCAUGGACCUUGAGAGAGCCAAGAGAAAGCUUGAGGGUGAUCUCAAACUGGCUCAAGAAUCCAUCAUGGACCUUGAGAAUGACAAGCAGCAAUCUGAGGAGAAAAUGAAGAAGUAAUGUUCUUGACAUUAAAUCAAAAGAAUACAACUAGAUCAUCAACAACAGCAAAAACUCCAACUAUGAAUUUUUCUGUUAUCCCCACAGGAAGGACUUUGAGAUCAGCCAGCUCCUCAGCAAGAUUGAGGAUGAGCAGUCAAUGGGUGCUCAGCUUCAGAAGAAGAUCAAGGAGCUCCAGGUGACAUACUCACUCACUUAAAAUAUAUAUACAAAUGCUCAGUUCUUGGGUACAAAUUUACUGAAAGACAAUAUGCUUUCAUUACACAGGCCCGCAUUGAGGAACUGGAAGAGGAGAUUGAAGCAGAGCGCGCAGCUCGUGCCAAGGUUGAGAAGCAGAGGGCUGAUCUCUCCAGGGAACUUGAGGAGAUCAGUGAGAGGCUGGAGGAAGCUGGUGGUGCCACCGCUGCUCAGAUUGAGAUGAACAAGAAGCGCGAAGCUGAGUUCCAGAAGCUCCGUCGUGAUCUUGAGGAGUCCACUCUGCAGCAUGAAGCCACUGCUGCCGCUCUUCGUAAGAAACAGGCUGACAGCGUUGCUGAGCUGGGAGAACAGAUCGACAAUCUCCAGCGUGUCAAGCAGAAGCUUGAGAAGGAAAAGAGUGAAUACAAGAUGGAAAUUGAUGACCUCUCCAGCAACAUGGAGGCUGUUGCCAAAGCAAAGGUACAAAAGACAAUGGAUGUUAAAAUUAGUGCAUUGAACAAGGUCAUUUAUGUUACAUCUGAUCAUUGAUUUGACUUGUCUUUGUCUCUUCAGGGAAAUCUUGAAAAGAUGUGCCGUACCCUUGAGGACCAACUCAGUGAAAUUAAGACCAAGAAUGACGAAAAUGUCCGUCAAAUCAAUGACCUUGGUGCACAGAAAGCACGUCUCCUGACAGAAAAUGGUAGCUACAAGUUACAACUGGAUAAUUUGAGUAUUUCAUAUUGUUGAAAUAUAACACAAACUAAUGUUUCACUGCACCUCUCUAACAAGGUGAGUUUGGCCGCCAAAUUGAAGAGAAGGAGGCUCUUGUCUCCCAGCUGACCAGAGGCAAACAGGCUUUCACUCAGCAGAUUGAGGAGCUGAAGAGACAGAUUGAAGAGGAGGUUAAGGUAAGAAAACUUAUAUCAAGUGGAUUUAUAUUUUUGUAUGUGCGCUUCUGAAACAGGUAUUAAAAAGUAUUUGAUAUCUGACAUCAGGCCAAGAAUGCUCUUGCCCAUGGACUGCAAUCAGCCCGUCAUGACUGUGAUCUGCUGAGGGAGCAGUUUGAGGAGGAGCAGGAGGCUAAGGCUGAGCUGCAGCGUGGAAUGUCCAAAGCUAACAGCGAAGUGGCUCAGUGGAGAACCAAGUAUGAAACUGAUGCCAUCCAGCGCACAGAGGAACUGGAAGAAUCCAAGUGAGUCUAUAUCAAGCAAACUGAUAUACAUCAAAAUAACUGUUAUGAAAGUUACUUUCAGUCAGUCAAGAUAUUGACUCACCAACUCACCAACUUCAUCCUCUCAACACAGGAAAAAGCUUGCCCAGCGCCUUCAGGAGGCUGAGGAGCAGAUUGAGGCUGUCAAUUCCAAGUGUGCCUCUCUGGAGAAAACCAAACAGAGACUCCAGAGUGAGGUGGAGGACCUCAUGAUUGAUGUGGAGAGAGCUAAUGGCCUGGCUGCCAACCUGGACAAGAAGCAGAGGAACUUUGACAAGGUAGUAUUUACUGUUGCAACCUUAAUUCAAUUAAAUGGGUAGUCAUAGCCAUUGACUCGACCAGUUGCUAAGAUAACUUGUUGCACUUCAGGUGUUGGCAGAGUGGAAACAGAAGUUUGAGGAGGGUCAGGCAGAGCUUGAGGGAGCUCAAAAGGAGGCUCGUUCUCUCAGCACUGAGCUGUUCAAGAUGAAGAACUCAUAUGAGGAGGCUCUGGAUCAACUGGAGACCAUGAAGCGUGAAAACAAGAACCUGCAGCGUAAGUUAUCACUUUGUACUCCAGACAUUCUGUUGAUAAAGUGUGUUCCUUUUGUAUUCAAUGCUCACUUUGUAUUUUGAGGCUUAACAACACAAAACAUUCAAAUACCUCUGCAGAGGAGAUCUCAGAUCUGACUGAACAGAUCGGUGAGACUGGCAAGAGCAUCCAUGAGCUGGAGAAGGCCAAGAAGCAGGUGGAGACUGAGAAGUCUGAGAUUCAGACUGCUCUUGAAGAGGCUGAGGUAUGUGUUGGUUCAGGAGAAAUCUCCUCUGAGGAAUCUAAAAUAAUUCCAGUGUAGAAUGAUAUGUUAUGAGAGGCAUGAGUGUUGAGAUUAAAGACUUACUUUCCAUUUUCAUUAGGGAACCCUGGAACAUGAAGAGUCCAAGAUCCUCCGCGUCCAGCUGGAGCUCAACCAGAUCAAGGGUGAGGUGGACAGGAAGCUGGCAGAAAAAGAUGAGGAAACAGAGCAGAUCAAGAGGAACAGCCAGAGGGUGAUUGACUCCAUGCAGAGCACUUUGGACUCUGAGGUCAGGAGCAGGAAUGAUGCCCUGAGAAUCAAGAAGAAGAUGGAGGGAGACCUGAAUGAGAUGGAGAUUCAGCUGAGCCAUGCCAAUCGCCAGGCUUCUGAGUCCCAGAAGCAGCUGAGGAACGUGCAGGCACAGCUGAAGGUACUGCUGCACAUAUAGACUGUGCAGAGAUUAUGGUCAUCAUACUUUUGUGUGGCAAGCCAUCUUCAUAUUUUCUUUACAUUUCUCACUAGGAUGCCCAACUGCACCUUGAUGAUGCUGUCAGAGCCCAGGAUGACCUCAAGGAACAAGCAGCUAUGGUAGAGCGCAGGAAUGGCCUCAUGAUUGCUGAAAUUGAGGAACUCAGAGCUGCUCUGGAACAGACAGAGAGAAGCCGCAAAGUGGCUGAGCAGGAGCUGGUGGACGCAAGUGAGCGUGUUGGACUUCUGCACUCACAGGUACUUUCCUUUGAGUUUCACUACUUCAACGUUUAUCAUUAUUUCACGGGGAACAGUAAUGGUACAUUAUUCUUUCUUUUUCUUUCAGAACACAAGCCUUCUGAACACCAAGAAGAAGCUGGAGACUGACCUGGUCCAGAUUCAGAGUGAAGUGGAUGACACUGUUCAGGAAGCAAGGAAUGCUGAGGAUAAGGCCAAGAAGGCCAUCACUGAUGUAGGUGUUCUUGAAGUGUGGGACAUAGUGACUGAUCAGUGGGUGUUUUUACAAUAUUUCUUAUCAGUGAUUUUGUUUCCUCUAGGCUGCUAUGAUGGCUGAGGAGCUGAAGAAAGAGCAGGAUACUAGUGCUCACCUGGAGAGAAUGAAGAAGAACCUUGAGGUUGCUGUCAAGGACCUGCAGCACCGCCUGGAUGAGGCUGAGAACCUGGCCAUGAAGGGUGGCAAGAAGCAGCUCCAGAAACUUGAGUCUAGGGUAUGAAAGUUGUGUUUACAGUAAAACAGUUUACAGUUUGAAAUAAUUUAUAUUGAUAUAUUCAAUGUUUUUCUGUUGUGUGAAGGUGCGUGAGCUGGAAGGUGAAGUUGAGGGUGAGCAGAGACGUGGAGCUGAUGCUGUUAAGGGUGUCCGCAAAUAUGAGAGGAGGGUGAAGGAGCUCACCUAUCAGGUAUUGUCCCAUCAUUAUUUCAUAUUUAAAUAUAAUUUGGUAAAAUAUAAGAAUAAUUUGAAAUGAUUAGAAACACAAAUUUUCUAUUUCUAUAAAAGACUGAGGAGGAUAAGAAAAAUAUUAGCAGGCUUCAGGAUCUGGUUGACAAGCUGCAGCUCAAGGUGAAGGCCUACAAGAGGCAGGCUGAGGAAGCGGUAAGGAUCCAUCAAUUCAAUAUAUGUGUCAACAAAAACAUAUAUUCAUAUAUAUAUAUAAGUUCAUCAGCCAUUUGUACAUUUCAAAAAUCUCUACUUAUUCUUCCUUUUAAAGGAGGAGCAGGCCAAUGUUCAUCUGUCCAAGUGCAGAAAGAUCCAGCAUGAGCUGGAGGAGGCUGAGGAGCGUGCUGACAUCGCAGAGUCUCAGGUUAACAAACUGAGAGCAAAGAGCCGUGAUUCUGGCAAGGUAAACUAAUAUUCAGAAAUCCAAAAAUUUAUGAAAAAUAAAAAUAGCUAGAUUUACCUCAACUAAUGUUUGUAUCCAUGUAUUCGUGUAUGAAGUGUACAUAUUGAACAAUCUGUUUUUUAUUUUAUUUUACAGGGAAAAGAAUCAGCUGAGUAGAGCUUUCCUGCUGACAGGUUGUUUCUAAUCAUAUAAUAUGAUGUGAAAAGAACCAUAAUAAAAUAUUUUUUGAUCUUAAAUGCAUUGUGUUAUGUUAUUUAUAUUCUGUUCUCAAAGAGAAGUACAUUUAAAAUUCUAAAAUUUUAGUAAACAGUUUCUAUCACAGAUGGUAGCUUAGACAUAAGGAGGUGUGGCGAAUGGUUGAGGUUUUUUAAGGGUUCAACAAUGGACUUAAAUUGAAUAAUAACACUGAACAUUUUAUCAUGUUACAUUUUUCCUGGUAAUCAUACAAAUCUCUAAAAAACUUGAUGAUUUUGUAAAGGAUCAGUUGUAAUCAACUAAUGACAAAACUACCUGUAAUCUUUGGUUUAAUAAUCACUCUAAGAUUUUACAACCAUCAUUUUGCUUAAACAUACUUAAAGGUGGGGUAGGCAGGAAUCUGUCAAAGAAGCAACUUUUUUCUAAUGUAUAUACAAAAAAGCUUUUAAUAUCAAUCAAUAGCUAUUAGUUAUUGAAGACAUUUGAGGAUAUUACAGCAUUGCUGUGUUCUCUUAUGCCUGUGUAGUCAACAUUCAAAAAAUCUUGAGCAUCACGCUCAUUCUGACUGUAAACAAAGUCGUUCUUCGCCUCUCCAACCUGAUUGGUUGUGAGGCGGAUUCCGCUUCCUCGUGCUGAUUGGUUAUGAGGCACACUCCACGCCCUCAAAUAAUGUGCAAACCCAAACAAAGUUGGCGUGCAACAAUACCAGACAGUACAAACCAGUCAUAAAGUACAGAAAAAUGUCUGAAUCCUCCUUUGGCCAUGACUGCCUACACAAGCAAGAAAAUGAAAUAAAUCCUGGAGAAUCUGGCGUAACAAUUGGUGCUUAAAAAGAGGUAGACCACCCAAACAAGAGGUAAAAAGCCAGGUCUACAUUAAGACUUCUAACCCAGGCCUGGGAAUGUAAAUAUCAGAAAACUCUCUACAAUCUUACAUCUAGAAACAGUUAACCUCAUUUUAUUUCUGUGAAACAAUCACAUUAGUCAUGCAUACCGGAUCAUCUGUCAGUCUCUGAGUUUGAGGCUCUCCACAAGAUCCUCCAGUGCCAAAGCACAGGGAUCUUUGUCUCUUUGUUGAUCUCUCCUCCAGUUUCUGACUCUACCAUAGCCACGAGCCAAGGCUUUGCUGUCCAGCUUGUGAUGGCCUGCCUCUGGGACCUUCUCUACCUUACCAUGCUGUGACUGGGCCUGGGGUGUACUCAUCCUUACAGUCAGGGCUAGCAUCCUUAAAAAAAAACACCAGAGAGAGUUGUACUGUUUUUGAUUUGCCACAGUCUGCUUUUGUAAGCCUUGUAUGCAGGAAAGGUAACUGCUGUGGCUAAUUCUAAUGUUGGUAGAAACAGCUCACCAGCUCAGAUGGUAUACGUUAAACUAUACGAAUGAACCGUCGUUUCAGUGUGACAUUUGCAAAACAGUUACAUAGUGCAAAGAAGGGUGUCUGACUAACAUGAUUCAACACCUUUGGAUUCAUGGAGUAGAAACAACUGAGAGCACCGUCUUUUACAGAGCACAUUUGACUUAUUAAACAGAGCAAUAUGUUCUUUGUCUGAGUGGACUUGCCGUUGUGUGACGUCUUCAACAGGCGCUGGGGCCCAAGCACAUCUGGUACAUACACCGGUCUUCCGCUAACCAGUCAGAAUCAGAUGUGUGAAACAAUAAAUUACAUCCAACUAACAUUAUCCCGUAUACUUUUUCAUAAACAAACAACCUAACAACAAAGACUGAUAUUUAUAUACCUGUUGAAAAUAGACCUGCGAGAAAUUGAUAGUAAUGUUCAUAAAAAGUUCAUAUACUUUCAGAGAUUUCAUCCAAAAGAACUCUGGUUAGCGCUCUCAUUUUAAACAUGCAUUGUUGUAUUAUUAUGUUAUGUUUUCUGUCUUUUUUUACUGCAACAUAUACCAAACUAAAACUUUUUUUACUUCAACUUACCACCAAUUCAAAGCUUAACACUUAAAAAUUCAGACCCUUUAAUGAUGCAAAUGUCCUACCACCAGCCUUGUUGAAGUCUCUGUCUUACGUCAUGAACAUAUGCCUCAUGUCCGCUGAAAGAAGAAAAUAUGAAACAAAAAAGUUAUUUAGACUGAUCAUAAACUAAAGAUGGGAAAUAACUUACAAUAAAAUGCAUCUUAUUUUUCUUACUGCUAUACCUGUGAUCCUGGCUGGCACCUCUGCUGUCCUUUACUACUCUGUUCUUCAAUCUUUUAUUCUCAACCCUUUUUCAUCUGCUGUGUGUCCGCUUUUGCUUUCUCAGAAAGUUUGUGAGUGAUUUCCAUUUCUGUUCAUUUUUUCCCCUCACUUUCUCUUCACUCCUUCCUCUCCUUUGUCUUCCUCACUCUUUAAAUACCUUUCAGAGCUGCCCUCUUGUCUUGUCAUGCCUCCUCUUCUGCUUUUGAAUGUUAUAGGUCACCUCCUGUCUUUUCCUCUUCACUCACUCAUGAACUGUAGUUCAAAAAUAACUAUUUACAAAUAAAACCUAUGAAACAUCCAGAUAUAUUGUGUUUGUAACAAAUAGCCAUUUGACGCCCUCUCCUUUUCACUCUCCUGCCCUAUGUUUUUUAGUUAUUUUUUAUUGUUCACAUGGUCUUAUCCAAAAAAUAUAGACAUACAAUGUUUUAUUAGAUAGAUAUUGACUUCAUUGUUUAGGAACACAUUCAGGAGCACUAAGCAAUGAGACCAUGGUUUUAAUGUAAUAGCAGGAUUUUAAGUGCUGAAGGUCUAGUAUCACAGAUAAAGUAAGAAAAAUUAUUCAUAAGCCUUCAUCGGUGAUGAAUUAUGUUUGGGAUACAACUAUUAUUGGCACACUUAUUACCCUUUAACAUUAACAUGUAUCGAUUUUCACACUGGAUUACUCAAAUAAAAUCUUGUGUCUCAUGUACUUAGGUCAGAUGUACACAGAUUUUUGAAAUUACCCCAGCUUAUGUCUGUAAAGCAUGUCUGAGGUUUCAGAGCUAAAAAUAUCUCCUUGAAGUAAUGAUCAAGCUUAAGUCUAAUACUAGCCACACAUACUGAAACCUGACACAUCAGAUGUAUAUUCUGUCGACAAGUGUUAGAUUAUAUGGUCCACAUAAGUCUGUAUCACCAUACCACAUUUGGAAAGCAAUCCACAUUUAACUUGAGAUGUGUCAGCAAAAUCCAAUACAAUAUAAGUAGUGCUCUAGGAACACUACCACAGCAGACCUGUCAGCUCCUGUUUGUGGUAAGACUACUUUCCUUAAUCCCUGUGACCAGGCCAGCUUGUCUUUGACAAAUGAUUAAACUUCAGUUUUUGCAUUACUUUGUAAACCUGUGAUUGUACACCUACUAUGAUGUAUCUAAAAUAAGUUUUCUGAACAGGAUUGGUGAAUACUAUACAGGGAGUGGGGGUCAGGUAAGAAAAUCUUGCAUUGUUUUUAAACCACAGACUUUCCCAAUGGACAUGUUUCUUUUGAAAGAUGAUAUCAAGCUCUUAAAGUAUUAAUUUGCUCUGACUAAGAAAGCAUUUCGUUUAUUUUAAUCUACAAAGACAAAGCUGCCAUCAUGAGUACGGACGCAGAGAUGGCCGUUUAUGGCAAAGCUGCCAUUUACCUUCGUAAGCCAGAGAAGGAGAGAAUUGAGGCUCAAAGCAAACCCUUUGAUGCCAAGGCUGCCUGUUAUGUGGCUGAUACCAAGGAGCUUUACCUGAAGGGAACCAUUAUCAGUAAAGAUGGUGGCAAAGUCGUUGUCAAAGUCCUGGACACUCAGGAGGUUAGUAUCUUGAAGUCAGAGUCAUAUUCUCCUUGAAGUGAUCUGUUCUCAUUUUGACAACCUUCCUGUUACAGGAGAGGACAGUCAAAGAAGAUGACGUCUCUCCAAUGAAUCCUCCCAAGUUCGACAAAAUUGAGGACAUGGCCAUGAUGACCCAUCUCAAUGAAGCCUCUGUGCUUUAUAACCUCAAAGAGCGUUAUGCAGCAUGGAUGAUCUACGUAAGGAAAUAAGGCUGAUAACAAAUGAAAAUGUUUUCACUGAUAUAUUCAUGUGUGAAGUACUGAGAUCACAAUCUUUCUUCCCACUUUCAGACCUACUCUGGCUUGUUCUGUGCCACCGUGAAUCCCUACAAGUGGCUCCCAGUGUACGAUUCUGAAGUUGUAGCUGCCUACAGAGGCAAGAAGCGUAUGGAGGCUCCACCCCACAUCUUCUCUGUCUCUGACAACGCUUAUCAGAACAUGCUUACUGGUAAGAAACAACAGCAAAAAAUGACUCAAUCUAUUAAUUGAAGUUUCUACCGGAAGGAAACAUAAUGUAUUAUUUUACCUGUCAACAGAUAGGGAGAACCAGUCUGUCUUGAUCACGUAAGUUUAAUUUUUUUUUCCUUAUUUCAUUUUGAAAUACUCACAAAAAUAUUGACCAAAUACUAACAAGAGACUUUCUACACCUAGUGGAGAAUCUGGUGCUGGAAAGACUGUGAACACCAAGCGUGUCAUCCAGUACUUUGCAACAAUCUCAGUUGGUGGAGAGCAGAAGAAGAAGGAACCAUCAAAGAUGGGAGUAUGUACAAAUUUAAUGGUUACAGCUCUGUGUUAUUUAAUGUCAUUAAAUUAAAAUAUUAAAAAAGCUCAUUUUCUGAUAUCACUUGGAAAUCUCCAUUUCAGGGUUCACUUGAGGACCAGAUUAUUGCAGCCAAUCCUCUGCUGGAGGCCUAUGGUAAUGCCAAAACUGUGAGAAAUGACAACUCCUCUCGUUUUGUAAGUAUUGAGGGAACUUUUGCAUAUCAAAAUGGUCUUGUCAAACAUUGCCUAUGUUCAUGAAUGUUUAAUGAAACUUUCUCCUGGACAGGGUAAAUUCAUCAGAAUUCAUUUCGGCACAAGUGGCAAACUGGCUAGUGCUGAUAUUGAGACAUGUAAGUGUGAAAAUUCUCUUAUACAUUCUUGUAACAAGAAUCACAAUUUGGCCAGGAUUUGACUCAUGAACAAUGUUUGUAGAUCUGCUGGAGAAGUCUAGAGUGACAUUCCAGCUUCCUGAUGAAAGAGGCUACCACAUCUUCUACCAGAUGAUGACCAACCACAAACCUGAGCUGAUUGGUAUACACAUUUUUUUUUCUCAAUGUUACUCCUGAGUCUCAUACAAAACAAAACUGACCUCAUCCUUCUUUUUUUUUUUUUUUCCAGAAAUGUCCCUCAUCACAACCAACCCCUACGACUUCCCCAUGUGCAGCAUGGGUCAGAUCACUGUGGCCAGUAUUGAUGACAAAGUUGAGCUGGAAGCCACUGAUGUGAGUGAACUGUGAUCUUCACUACAAAAUAGUUACAUUUUGUAAAUGACAACACCCAAGGUACUCUGCAUUAAAAUUACUUACAUUCAUUUGGACACUUGUAUCAAAUACAGAAUGCUAUUGAUAUCCUGGGCUUCACUAAUGAGGAGAAGAUGAGCAUCUACAAGCUGACUGGUGCUGUGCUUCACCAUGGUAACAUGAAGUUCAAGCAGAAGCAGCGUGAGGAGCAGGCUGAGCCUGAUGGCACAGAGGGUGAGUUCUGCUGUUCACUUUAAGUUAGAGGUUUUUAUUCUGGCUAGUCUUCUAUCAUGGCAGACAAUGGAAACCACAUGCCGUAUCACUGAAAGUCAUUUGAUUAUUGUCAGAUGCCGACAAGGUUGCCUACUUGCUGGGUCUGAACUCUGCUGAUAUGCUGAAGGCUCUGUGCUACCCCAGAGUGAAGGUCGGAAAUGAGUAUGUCACCAAGGGACAGACUGUACCUCAGGUAAUCAUGGAUCUCUGAUAUCUAGUAAACCAUGCACCCAGGAAUGAAGUUAUCAAGGUCUUGCUUAAGUAGUAUUUUAAAUCAUGUUUUGUUUUCUGAGGUUUUUUUUGUUUUUGUUUGUUUGUUUGUUUGUUUGUUUGUUUUUGUAGAGUUUGAAUUCACUGAGAUUUUAUGAGAUUGAUACAUGAAUUACUUGGUGCAAAUUAUUUCACUUAUUGGACAUGAAUGGAGGACAGUUUUUCAUGCAAUUUUAAGUUAUUCUUUGGGGGGUCUUAAGUGUGAUUCAUCACAUUGACAGAAAUUAGGUUAACUUAUUAUUUUUGGUGUUUUAAAUGAAUUUUUAGCUGGCUCAAAUAUAAUUUCUAUGUUUUAUUCAGGUGCUGAACUCAGUGACUGCCCUGGCCAAGUCUGUCUAUGAGAGGAUGUUCUUGUGGAUGGUCAUCCGCAUCAACCAGAUGUUGGACACUAAACAGUCAAGACAGUUCUUCAUUGGUGUGCUGGAUAUUGCUGGUUUUGAAAUCUUUGAUGUAAGAUUCAUACUAAACAAUUCAGGAUCUAAUUCACUUUUCCCAAGGGUAUCAGUCCUUUUUUCUUUCACCCCAAAAAAACAUCAAUCAUCUAUUUUUCUCCCUUUACAGUUCAACAGCAUGGAGCAGCUGUGCAUCAACUUCACCAAUGAGAAGCUGCAACAGUUCUUCAACCACCACAUGUUCGUCCUGGAGCAAGAGGAGUACAAGAAGGAGGGUAUUAUCUGGGAGUUCAUUGACUUCGGUAUGGACUUGGCUGCCUGCAUUGAGCUGAUUGAGAAGGUAAUGAUUACAUUUAGUGAUUAUGUAAUUCUGUCAGUUUCACUCAUUGUACAUGCAAAAUAUUUACUUUUGUCAUUUUUUUCAAGCCCAUGGGCAUCUUCUCCAUCCUUGAAGAGGAGUGCAUGUUCCCCAAGGCCACAGACACAUCCUUCAAGAACAAGCUGUAUGACCAGCAUCUUGGCAAGAACAGAGCAUUUGAGAAGCCCAAGCCCGCCAAGGGCAAGGCUGAGGCCCACUUCUCCCUGGUUCACUAUGCUGGUACUGUGGACUACAACAUUGGUGGCUGGCUGGACAAGAACAAGGAUCCACUGAACGAUUCUGUCGUUCAGCUGUACCAGAAGUCUUCCGUUAAGCUGCUGCCUGUUCUCUAUCCUCCAGUUGUUGAGGGUAUGGUUAUUAUAAUAUUAACUGUCAAAACAUGAUAAAGUUAUUUUUUUUACAAACUUGAUGACGGCAAAUGGUUUGGAUGUGCAGUUUUAACAGUUUCCUCUAAAAUGUAUCAACAGAGACUGGUGGCGGCAAGAAGGGAGGCAAGAAGAAGGGUGGUUCUAUGCAGACUGUGUCUUCACAGUUUAGGGUAAGGAUUCACAUUUUAAACUUGUAUCAUGGAUCAAAUCUCAUAAUUGAACUAUGACAAGAUAUAACAUCUUGGAUCCACAGGAGAACUUGGGCAAGCUGAUGACCAACUUGAGGAGCACCCAUCCUCACUUUGUGCGUUGUCUGAUUCCCAACGAGUCAAAGACUCCAGGUAUAUACACAAAACAUAUGCCAGUAACUUUUUUGAAGUACAGUUUUGUUGUUUCAUGUUGGAAAAUUUUGAAUUAUAACAGAAAGUCUGACUUCAUUUUAAUUCCUUUUAAAGGUCUGAUGGAGAACUUCCUGGUCAUCCACCAGCUCAGGUGUAAUGGUGUGCUGGAGGGUAUCAGAAUCUGCAGAAAAGGUUUCCCCAGCAGAAUCCUCUAUGGUGACUUCAAGCAGAGGUAUCAAUGGAUUAAAUAGAGAUUUGGUUCAGGGGGGGCUUUAAGGCAAUACUGACACUGACAAUGGGCUCUCUCAUUAUAGAUACAAGGUGCUGAAUGCCAGUGUCAUCCCUGAGGGCCAGUUCAUUGAUAACAAGAAGGCUUCAGAGAAGCUGCUUGGAUCAAUUGAUGUUGAUCAUGACCAGUACAGAUUUGGACACACCAAGGUACUGUACUUACUUCUAUGUAUUCUUAAGGUCUCUACCCAACAAGUCGAGUUUUUGCUUCAAGCUUGUAUAUUUCACUUUGUUGAUUAAAUGUGUGCAUUGUAAAAAACUUUGCUAAAAAAUUCAAGAACAUCACAAAGUCUUUCAAAUUCAGAAAGGUUUCAAGUUUUUUUCAAUAAAAUGUUUUUUGUUUUGCUGCAGUUUAAAAUUCAAUUCAUUGCUUUGGCUUGAUGUUUGCUCUUAAGAUAUUUUGAUUCUUUUUUUUUUUUGAUUAGGUGUUCUUCAAGGCUGGUCUCCUGGGUACCCUUGAGGAGAUGAGAGAUGAAAAACUGGCAAGUUUGGUCACCAUGACUCAGGCUCUCUGCCGUGGCUACCUGAUGAGAAAGGAGUUUGUGAAGAUGAUGGAGAGGAGGCAUGUUCAAAACGAUUGUGCUGAAUUAGAUUAUGGACGAGUAAAAAACUACAUUGUAACAGCAGCUUUUUGUCCACAGAGAGGCCAUCUAUACCAUCCAGUACAAUGUCCGCUCAUUCAUGAAUGUCAAACACUGGCCAUGGAUGAAGGUCUACUACAAGAUCAAGCCUCUUCUGAAGAGCGCUGAAACUGAGAAGGAGCUUCAGCAGAUGAAGGAGAACUAUGAGAAGAUGCAGACAGACCUGGCUGCUGCCCUGGCAAAGAAGAAGGAGCUGGAGGAGAAGAUGGUGUCCCUCCUGCAGGAGAAGAACGAUCUGCAGCUGCAAGUCGCAUCUGUAAGUCUGCAAUUAUGUUAUGUUUGAUUCUGUCAAAAUAAUGUGGAUCUGCUAAUCAAUGCUUCACAUUACGAACUAGGAAACAGAGAAUCUGUCAGAUGCUGAGGAGAGGUGUGAGGGUCUUAUCAAGAGUAAGAUUCAGCUGGAGGCCAAGCUCAAAGAGACAACUGAAAGACUGGAGGAUGAAGAGGAAAUCAAUGCUGAGCUCACUGCCAAAAAGAGGAAGUUGGAGGAUGAAUGCUCUGAGCUCAAGAAGGACAUCGAUGACCUGGAGCUUACCUUGGCCAAAGUGGAGAAGGAGAAACAUGCCACUGAGAACAAGGUCUGGGGAAAAACAAAUAUCUCACAUGUCAAAUAAAAUCAGGACAUUGCCACAUAGUACUAAAAAUAUUUUACUCACAAAUUUAGGUGAAGAACCUGACUGAAGAGAUGGCCUCUCAGGAUGAGAGCAUUGCCAAGUUGACCAAGGAAAAGAAAGCCCUUCAGGAGGCUCAUCAGCAGACCCUUGAUGAUCUGCAGGCUGAGGAAGACAAGGUCAACACUCUGACCAAGGCCAAGACUAAGCUUGAGCAGCAAGUGGAUGAUGUAAGUUUUUUUUAAGUCACUAUGCUAAACAAUUAAUAUGGAAGAAGAACCUGGUCUUUAAGAACAUGUAUUACCGUUUAGCUUGAAGGUUCUCUGGAGCAAGAGAAGAAGCUGCGCAUGGACCUUGAGAGAGCCAAGAGAAAGCUUGAGGGUGAUCUCAAACUGGCUCAAGAAUCCAUCAUGGACCUUGAGAAUGACAAGCAGCAAUCUGAGGAGAAAACGAAGAAGUAAUGUUCUUGACAUUAAAUCAAAAGAAUACAACUAGAUCAUCAACAACAGCAAAAACUCCAACUAUGAAUUUUUCUGUUAUCCCCACAGGAAGGACUUUGAGAUCAGCCAGCUCCUCAGCAAGAUUGAGGAUGAGCAGUCAAUGGGUGCUCAGCUUCAGAAGAAGAUCAAGGAGCUCCAGGUGACAUACUCACUCAAUUAAAAUAUACAUACAAAUGCUCAGUUCUUGGGUACAAAUUUACUGAAAGACAAUAUGCUUUCAUUACACAGGCCCGCAUUGAGGAACUGGAAGAGGAGAUUGAAGCAGAGCGUGCAGCUCGUGCCAAGGUUGAGAAGCAGAGGGCUGAUCUCUCCAGGGAACUUGAGGAGAUCAGUGAGAGGCUGGAGGAAGCUGGUGGUGCCACCGCUGCUCAGAUUGAGAUGAACAAGAAGCGCGAAGCUGAGUUCCAGAAGCUCCGUCGUGAUCUUGAGGAGUCCACUCUGCAGCAUGAAGCCACUGCUGCCGCUCUUCGUAAGAAACAGGCUGACAGCGUUGCUGAGCUGGGAGAGCAGAUCGACAACCUCCAGCGUGUCAAGCAGAAGCUUGAGAAGGAAAAGAGUGAAUACAAGAUGGAAAUUGAUGACCUCUCCAGCAACAUGGAGGCUGUUGCCAAAGCAAAGGUACAAAAGACAAUGGAUGUUAAAAUUAGUGCAUUGAACAAGGUCAUUUAUGUUACAUCUGAUCAUUGAUUUGACUUGUCUUUGUCUCUUCAGGGAAAUCUUGAAAAGAUGUGCCGUACCCUUGAGGACCAACUCAGUGAAAUUAAGACCAAGAAUGACGAAAAUGUCCGUCAAAUCAAUGACCUUGGUGGACAGAAAGCACGUCUCCUGACAGAAAAUGGUAGCUACAAGUUACAACUGAAUGAAUAAGUUUGUUUUGUAUCAUUUUUUAAAAUAUAACACAAACUAAUGUUUCACUGCACCUCUCUGACAAGGUGAGUUCGGCCGCCAAAUUGAAGAGAAGGAGGCUCUUGUCUCCCAGCUGACCAGAGGCAAACAGGCUUUCACUCAGCAGAUUGAGGAGCUGAAGAGACAUAUUGAAGAGGAGGUUAAGGUACGAAAACUUUUAUCAAGUGGAUUUAUAUUUUUGUAUGUGCGCUUCUGAAACAGGUAUUAAAAAGUAUUUGAUAUCUGACAUCAGGCCAAGAAUGCUCUUGCCCAUGGACUGCAAUCAGCCCGUCAUGACUGUGAUCUGCUGAGGGAGCAGUUUGAGGAGGAGCAGGAGGCUAAGGCUGAGCUGCAGCGUGGAAUGUCCAAGGCUAACAGCGAAGUGGCUCAGUGGAGAACCAAGUAUGAAACUGAUGCCAUCCAGCGCACAGAGGAACUGGAAGAAUCCAAGUGAGUCUAUAUCAAGCAAAUUACUAUACAUCUAAAUAACUGUUAUGAAAGUUACUACCAGUCAGUAGAGAUAUUGACCGUCACCAACUUCAUCCUCUCAACACAGGAAAAAGCUUGCCCAGCGCCUUCAGGAGGCUGAGGAGCAGAUUGAGGCUGUCAAUUCCAAGUGUGCCUCUCUGGAGAAAACCAAACAGAGACUCCAGAGUGAGGUGGAGGACCUCAUGAUUGAUGUGGAGAGAGCUAAUGGCCUGGCUGCCAACCUGGACAAGAAGCAGAGGAACUUUGACAAGGUAGUAUUUGCUUUUGUAACCUUCAUGUAAAUCAAAUGGGUAGUCAUUCCCAUUGACUCAACCAGUUGCUAAGAUAACUUGUUGCACUUCAGGUAUUGGCAGAAUGGAAACAGAAGUAUGAGGAGGGUCAGGCAGAGCUUGAGGGAGCUCAAAAGGAGGCUCGUUCUCUCAGCACUGAGCUGUUCAAGAUGAAGAACUCAUAUGAAGAGGCUCUGGAUCAGCUGGAGACCAUGAAGCGUGAAAACAAGAACCUGCAGCGUAAGUUAUCACUUUGUGCUCCAGACAUUCUGUUGAUAAAGUGUGUUCCUUUUGUAUUCAAUUCUCACUUUGUAUAUUGAGGCUUAACAACACAAAACAUUCAAAUACCUCUGCAGAGGAGAUCUCAGAUCUGACUGAACAGAUCGGUGAGACUGGCAAGAGCAUCCAUGAGCUGGAGAAGUCUAAGAAGCAGGUGGAGACUGAGAAGUCUGAGAUUCAGACUGCUCUUGAAGAGGCUGAGGUAUGUUUUUGGUUCAGGAGAGAACCCACAAGUAUUCUACUAUAGAAUGAUAUAUUACAAAAGGCACAAUUGUUGAGCUUCAAGACUGACUUUCCGUUGUCAUUAGGGAACCCUGGAACAUGAAGAGUCCAAGAUCCUCCGCGUCCAGCUGGAGCUCAACCAGAUCAAGGGUGAGGUGGACAGGAAGCUGGCAGAAAAAGAGGAGGAAAUGGAGCAGAUCAAGAGGAACAGCCAGAGGGUGAUUGACUCCAUGCAGAGCACUUUGGACUCUGAGGUCAGGAGCAGGAAUGAUGCCCUGAGAAUCAAGAAGAAGAUGGAGGGAGACCUGAAUGAGAUGGAGAUUCAGCUGAGCCAUGCCAAUCGCCAGGCUUCUGAGUCCCAGAAGCAGCUGAGGAACGUGCAGGCACAGCUGAAGGUACUGCUGCACAUAUAGACUGUGCAGAGAUUAUGGUCAUCAUACUUUUGUGUGGCCAGCCAUCUUCAUAUUUUCUUUACAUUUCUCACUAGGAUGCCCAACUGCACCUUGAUGAUGCUGUCAGAGCCCAGGAUGACCUCAAGGAACAAGCUGCUAUGGUGGAGCGCAGGAAUGGCCUCAUGGUUGCUGAAAUUGAGGAACUCAGAGCUGCUCUGGAACAGACAGAGAGGAGCCGCAAAGUGGCUGAGCAGGAGCUGGUGGACGCAAGUGAGCGUGUUGGACUUCUGCACUCACAGGUACUUUCCUUUGAGUUUCGCUACUUCAACAUUUAUCAUUAUUUCACGGGGAACAGUAACGGUACAUUAUUCUUUCUUUUUCUUUCAGAACACAAGCCUUCUGAACACCAAGAAGAAGCUUGAGUCUGACCUGGUCCAGGUUCAGAGUGAAGUGGAUGACACUGUUCAGGAAGCAAGGAAUGCUGAGGAGAAGGCCAAGAAGGCCAUCACUGAUGUAGGUGUUCUUGAAGUGUGGGACAUAUUGACUGAUCAGUGGGUGUUUUUACAAUAUUUCUUAUCAGUGAUUUUGUUUCCUCUAGGCUGCUAUGAUGGCUGAGGAGCUGAAGAAAGAGCAGGAUACUAGUUCUCACCUGGAGAGAAUGAAGAAGAACCUUGAGGUUGCUGUUAAGGACCUGCAGCACCGCCUGGAUGAGGCUGAGAACCUGGCCAUGAAGGGUGGCAAGAAGCAGCUCCAGAAACUUGAGUCUAGGGUAUGAAAGUUGUGUUUACAGUUUAGAAAAUUGAGUGUAGAAUUUUGAGAUAGUUAUAUUGAUAUAUUCAAUGUUUUUCUGUUUUGUUAAGGUGCGUGAGCUGGAAGGUGAAGUUGAUGCUGAGCAGAGACGUGGAGCUGAUGCUGUUAAGGGUGUCCGCAAAUAUGAGAGGAGGGUGAAGGAGCUCACCUAUCAGGUAUUGUCACACUGACACUUAACAAAAUCAAUUUGGCAUACCUAUUGUCUUGUCAAAAUCAUUCUUUAAUUGCAUGUUUACCUUUAAUUAAAGACUGAGGAGGACAAGAAGAAUGUUGCCAGGCUUCAGGAUCUGGUUGACAAGCUGCAACUGAAGGUGAAAGCCUACAAGAGGCAGGCUGAGGAAGCGGUAAGAGACAUGGUUUUAUUCUUUACUCAUAUGAAGAUAAUAGAACAAUAUGUUUCGAGACAAAUUCUUCUUUUAUUACAAAUCUAUUCAUUCAUGCUCCAGAAAAGUAGACGUUUACAAAAGCAGAUAAAUAUAAAAUUUUCUAAAUUAAGACAUAUGAGCCUCAAAGUCAUAUGUCUCUAGUAGAAUUUCUUGCUUCUCUAUUUCAAAUAAAUUAAGCUAUGACUAUCUCAUUCCAACUUUACUUCUUAAAUUGUGUCAGGGUACAGCGAAUGACCCUCAAUUUUAAAUACAAUGUCAUAAUAUGGAACCUCUUAAUUUUAUGUGUCAACCACAUAAUCAGCCCCUUUUUAAUUAAUUAAAAUCUCAAAUAGGUCACUACCUAAUGCAAUUUGUAUUGUUUUCCAGGAGGAGCAGGCCAAUGUUCAUCUGUCCAAGUGCAGGAAGAUCCAGCAUGAGCUGGAGGAGGCUGAGGAGCGUGCUGACAUUGCAGAGUCUCAGGUUAACAAACUGAGGGCCAAGAGCCGUGACUCCAGCAAGGUAAAUCAAUUGUUUUAUCAGAGACAGUAAGUGUUAGGCUUUCAAUGUUUCAUCAACUUAACUCUUUCUCUUUGUGUGUCUUCAGGGAAAAGAGGCUGAGUAAAGUGCGCUGACUAUUGUGCUUCAAUUUUUCUUAUCAUAAAAUAUGAUGUGAAAAAUGAAAUAAAAACCUUUG